GAUCCUGUAGCUCAGUUGGUUAGAGCGUGGCUCUUAUGAGUCAGAUGUUGCGAGUUCAAGCCUUGCCAAAACCA
Molecule: transfer RNA, 74 nt
Filed under: Jatropha curcas
Lineage: Eukaryota; Viridiplantae; Streptophyta; Magnoliopsida; Malpighiales; Euphorbiaceae
Rfam family: tRNA
About the family: Transfer RNA (tRNA) molecules are approximately 80 nucleotides in length.
Source: Rfam by way of RNAcentral